UACGAUUAGUCUUUUUUACAU
RNAcentral lists this non-coding RNA (21 nucleotides) under Caenorhabditis elegans. The record is from RNAcentral. Lineage: Eukaryota; Metazoa; Nematoda; Chromadorea; Rhabditida; Rhabditidae.